AAAAAGAACAUGAAAAGGGAGGUGUAUGAGCAUUUAUGACUGCACUAGGAAUAAGUGAUGCGCUGAUGGGCCAUGAAAGAGGGGCGCUAAAAGUAACCAGCGAAAGCCCACGAUCCAAAUCACAAUUAAAUCAGGGCGUGACAUAUUAAAAUGAACAUUUUAAUUAAAAUAACCAUGUGAACACUUAUCAAUCGGUCACUUUCAUUUAAGUCACUAAAAGACAAAAACCAAACGGACGGACAAGAUUAAAACAAGAGCGAUAGAUCCAAGGGAUCUCA
RNAcentral lists this long non-coding RNA (278 nucleotides) under Lathyrus oleraceus (garden pea). Its description in RNAcentral is "Pisum sativum (pea) long non-coding RNA (PSAT_LNC014815)". Lineage: Eukaryota; Viridiplantae; Streptophyta; Magnoliopsida; Fabales; Fabaceae. The record is from RNAcentral.